UACGUAGGGACCAAGCGUUGUUCGGAUUUACUGGGUGUAAAGGGCGCGUAGGCGGCAAUUCAAGUCAGUUGUGAAAUCUCCGAGCUUAACUCGGAACGGUCAACUGAUACUGUUUUGCUAGAGUGCAGAAAGGGCAACCGGAAUUCUUGGUGUAGCGGUGAAAUGCGUAGAUAUCAAGAGGAACACCUGAGGCGAAGGCGGGUUGCUAGGCUGACACUGACGCUGAGGCGCGAAAGCUAGGGUAGCAAACGGG
This 253-nucleotide ribosomal RNA is filed under the name uncultured bacterium. Its description in RNAcentral is "partial 16S ribosomal RNA". It matches the Rfam family "Bacterial small subunit ribosomal RNA", at positions 524 to 776 of the family's 1533-position model. The record is from RNAcentral.